This 1160-nucleotide unclassified non-coding RNA is filed under the name Hevea brasiliensis (rubber tree). Lineage: Eukaryota; Viridiplantae; Streptophyta; Magnoliopsida; Malpighiales; Euphorbiaceae. The record is from RNAcentral.
AAAGUUAUGGCAUCUCCUUGUUCAGUAAAGCGUUCUUUCUGGCAUAGGUUGUCCAGAUAGUCCAGUGUUUCUAAACCUUCGAUCCUUAUUUCACUUAUGUCGGAAACAGAGAAGUAUGUAUGAUAAGCAAAUGAGAAGCUGAACUGUUUGCCAUUAAUAUUUCUGAUCCGAGAUAUCAAGGACAAGCUUCCAUCUGAUGCCAGCGUAAUCCGGAGGCGAAACUCAAAACUGUGGGGCCAGAACUUCAGAUCAUCUUCUGAAGGUUUGAGCAGCAAGUCAAUGAAAGAUUUUCCUUGUGGGUCAUAUGUGAAUAAAGAUGGAGGGUCAUCCUCAAUGGUCCAGAUUCUGUUUCUUGCGAAUCCAAGUUGCUCAAGUGAACCAGCAUUUCCAUACUGGGGAAAGCAAGCUGAGAUUCCUCCUCGUGUAGCUUUUGGAGACUUGAAGAUGCUCUUACUGCUAUUGAAUAGGAGUUCUUCCCCUCGUUCAUUCCGCCAAGACGUAACUUGUCCUCCUUGCAAGCUAACCCGUGCAGAGGCACCCUGAGGGUUCCGAAGCACAACCUGUUCAAUCCCAUUCCAAUCUUUUGUUACUUCAGUAGCUGCUGUAUGAUCCCAGACUGCUGCAUAGUGCCCCAUUUUCUAAGCACUUCUUCCUUGGUUCACAAUAUCUCUAAGAAAAAUCCUUGAAAACCCUUACUAUGCUAUUUGGACUAAAACUGCUUCCAGCAAUGAAUCGACCAGACAAAUGCCUCCAGUAUAUAUAUGAUAUUUUCGACUAUCUUAAACACAACCCUUCCCGGAAUCUUGUAAUCUAGUGAACCCCACAAUACAAAAAAUCUUCAACACCAAUCUGCCUUUCUAUUCUGAACUUUUUCACAAACUCUCACAUUCAAUGUAAAUUUACACAAAACCAACUUUCCUUUACCAGCAAAUCAGACUUCUAACUUGAACAACAAAAAGCAACAUCAUCUUCUUAAGCUACCCCCCCAAGAAACCAACAAAAUAUGACAUUUGGCAACAAAAUGUAGUAGUACCCAAAUCCUAGCUAAAUUCACGGAGCAGCAUGUGAUAUUUACUUAUAACAGGGCUAAUCUUGAAAACUUUGCAAGAGACUCAAUUAUAAUACUGCAUUUACAAUUAAAGGGUGUUGCAAAAAUUGAA